Pieris rapae (cabbage white) is the source of this 456-nucleotide long non-coding RNA. RefSeq lists it as uncharacterized. NCBI's taxonomy places the organism in Eukaryota, Metazoa, Arthropoda, Insecta, Lepidoptera, Pieridae. The record is from RefSeq and is a predicted model, not a curated record. The transcript is spliced from 3 exons.
AGUGCGCACGCUCCGUAUCCCUGACGUACCGCAUUUACUUUGCCCACAACUCUUUUCCCUAAAUCAAUUCCAUCAAAACAAUCCUGUUUCUAAAACGUGUAAACUUGCAUUCGGUGUCCGCGCGAAAUGCGGAUUCCUUCAUCGGAACGGAAGUCCAGAAAUCUGCUUCAUAUCGCGCUUCUAAUGUUUGUUAUUGUACAUCGCUGGAUACUAUUUUCGCCCUAAAAGUACAAACUGCAACGGUCUAAAUCCUCUUUCACGUGCAACUUGCCAAUUCGUCAAUUAAAGCAAUAAUAUAACUGCCAUUUAAUUCUAAGUGCUAGGUUUCUUUAAACACAAAAGUGGAGAAUUUUACGGCUCCUACAACCAACGCCGGACCCACUCCGGUGAGCGACAGAUACAGUGUCAUUCUGACGAUAUCUACCUCCACCUCCGACGGAUACGCUCUGACAAACG